RNAcentral lists this long non-coding RNA (547 nucleotides) under Dermacentor andersoni. RNAcentral describes it as "uncharacterized LOC126543868". Lineage: Eukaryota; Metazoa; Arthropoda; Arachnida; Ixodida; Ixodidae. The record is from RNAcentral.
CCUAGCCGCACAACUGCAGCCUGGCGAGUAUCUGCUUGGAGACUCAGGAUAUCCUCUCGAGCCAUGGCUGCUUGUUCCAGUACCUGGCAGCCAUGCCGGCACCAGCUCUGAAGGCCACUACAACCAGGAGCACGCAUCCAUGCGCAAUGUUGUGGAGAGAUGUAUCGGGGUGUUGAAAAGCAAGUUCCGCUGCUUGCAGCGCUUUCGGACACUGCUGUACAGCCCCGAUAGAGCAGCGCGAAUCAUUUAUGCAUGCGUUGCUCUCCAUAACAUUGCCUUGGAGGCGGGCGACUGGACAUUGGAGGAUUAUGGUGGGGAAGUGCCACCAGCUGAGGAGCCAGAGGAGCCAGGAGACAUCCAGGUGCUGGCACCACAAGACGUGUUCCUCAGAGGAAGGCAGCAGCGCAGCGCAGUUGUCAACCUUUUCUGAAGGACACAGGAAUGGUGCUCAGCGAUGUCCUGCGCUAUGGCGCGCACCUGUUCCAGGAUCCCCUCCUGGGCUGCUGCCGUCCGUUCUGCCGCGACAGCGAGGCGGGUUGUUGUAGCC